AAGAGGAUUGUGGGGUUUAAGGAUCCGAUUAGGAAUCGGGUUUACCGACCCAAACCAAAAAGGGUUCCUUCCUCUUACUGCCAGUAUUCAAUAGUCAGUUGUAAUUUGUGUUGGGUUCUCGCUCUCUUUUGCGUUGAGAGAUUCAUCAACAAUUUGGGGAUUUAGGGUUUUUGCUGCUUGUUAAUGGACCACUUCAACUCCUUUGUCCCACUGCAAUAGAACCAGUACGACUCUCUCUCGCUCUCUCUCUACAUCAAUUCGUUAACUUUUCACCACUCAUUUCUAAAGCUUCUUUGAUUUGGCGACAUGAUUGCAGCAAUGGUGGCAGACGGGCCAGUGAAUCCCCAGGUGGUCAAUUCGUGCUGUGCUACGUGGAAACAUAAGUACUCGAAGCUCGAAAAGGGACGGAAUGCACUGCGGGAAGCUGUGCACUUACUUCAACAGGAGGUUGAAAGAGCUCAAGCCGAGAAUUCCAAUCUCAAGAAAGCACUAGAGGAAGAGCGAGCACGGGCAGAUAUUGAGAAAGAGGAGAAAGAAAACGCAUCUGCUGCUAGAAUAUCUUUGGAGAAAGAAAUUUCUGGGUUGAAAUCUGAUAUUUCCCUAAAGCCGACAGGAAAUGUAGAUGCUCAAUAUAGAAGUGAACUAAACCUUCUCAAAGCAAAAGUUUCUGACCGGGACAAGGAAAUUUAUCGUCUCAAUGUUCAUAUUGAGAGAGAGAAGAAAAGGGCAGACUCAGCAUGUAAGAAUGCCAAUGUUGAGAAAGAGGAGAAAGUAAAAGAAUCUGCUGCUAGGGCAUCUCUGGAGAACGAUAUUUCUGGGUUGAAAUCUGAGAUAUAUUCUCUAAAGCAGAGAGAAAAUGCAGAUGCUGAAGAUAAAGGUGAAGUAAACCUUCUUAAAGCUCAAGUUGCUGACUAUGAAAGGGAAAUUAAUCAUCUCAAGAAGCUUAUUGAGAGAGAGAAGAAAAGGGCAGACUCAGAAAGUAAGAUUGUUGAAGUGGAGAAGAAGAAGGCUUCUGAAGCACGAAAAGCUGCUAAAGCUGAAAAAAGUAAGGCUGAUGACGAAAGGAAGCAUGCCAAUACUGAAAGAGAAAAGGCUGAGAAUUAUGAGCUUCAGUUGGAGGCGCUGAAGAAAGAAGCUCAUAAAGCACGUUCUGAUUUGGCUUCUGAGACAUUGAAGCUUGUUGAGGCAAACAAGGAGAUUGGGGGAGAAAAACAGAAGGUGGUCAAGGAGAGAAAGAUUGCAAAUUCAGAGAAGGCCAAGGCUGAAGAGCAAAGGAAGUUUGCUGAAGCCAAUAGGAAGAUGACUAUGGAAGAAAAAUGUCAUGUUGAAAGAUUGUCUUUGGAAUUGGUAGAGUGUAGGAAAAAGAUCGAUGAGUUACAGAAGGAGAUAAAUGAAAUUAGGCGUUUAAGAGAAUCGGAUGAGGCUGCAAACGCCCAAUCUGAUAACAAUAGAAGUGGGGUAGCUUUCCAAGAGAGUAAAUCAGAUGAACUGAAGUUGGUUUUGGAGCAUCCAUAUUUUGAGGAAGUGAACAAAAGGUAUGAAAUUGAAAAACAGAAGGUAAUAAAGGAGAAAAAAGGGGCAGAAUCAGAGAGGGUGAAAGCUGAAAAGCAGAAAAAGCUUGUGGAAGUGAAUUGGAAGAAGGCUAUGGAAGAAAAAUCUCGUGCUGAUCAUCUGUCUAGGCAGUUGGGCGACGCUAAGAAGAAAAUUGUGGAAUUAUCCUCCAGAAAAUUGAUUGAUGCAUCUGCUGUAGAACUUCAAAAAGAUAGGGGUGCUGAAAGUGUAGAAGUGAAUUAUUUGAAGAAACAACUUAAGUUUGAGAAAAAGCAAAAAAAACAUGCUAAAGAAGUGGUCAAGCUGGAAAGAAGUCGUAACAGUAUCUUGCAACGAGAACUAGGUCGCUUGCAAGUGGAGUUUGAUCAAUUUUCACAGCGCCUGGGUAUGCUAAAUAAAGCUUUCUCACAUAGUGCUGAAGGUAUAGACAACCCAAAAAAGAUGAACCUUCAAAGUGGAGUUAAGCGUCUCAAGCCUUGCAGCCCAGUUUUGGAUGCAAGGGAAGCCACGCAACAUACUGCACCAUUUCUUCUUUUAUCUGGAGGAAAUUGCAGUGAUUCUAUCUCAGGUAUUGAUUCUAUAUUGGAGUCUCCAGUCAGAGGCUCUAACCGAAAAAUGUUAGAGAGUUGUGCAAUACAUUCCAGUAUGGAAUCUUUUUCUGAUAGACAGUUGUUGGGCUCACAGGAAAAAUUGGUUGAAGAGAAUGUGCAACCAACAAUAUCCAACUUGUCUGCUGAGGUUACCAAAAUAAAUUGCAAUGAAAAUGCUGCUGUGGUUGCUGAAAACAGUGUCAGAAGUCCUGUUAGAACCGAUGGGGUUGGAAGAGUUAAUGAGCAUAGCAGGAAAAGAAAGAGGAUACUUCAGGUAGUUGAAUCAAUUGAGAGUUUAUAUACAGAGGGUAAGCAGUUGCACCUGCGGGUAGAGGAAAACCUUUCUGUUUUGCAUUUUUUGUUGGACAAGCAAAUGAAAAUACCUUAUGAAGAAGGGAGAUAUCUCCUUCCUAGUCUGCAGGGUAAUGCAAUGCAUGGAAUGCUAUAUGAAAAGGGAAAUGAAGGUAUUGAAGAUAAAUUGGCAAUGCAGAAAUAUGCUGACAGUAAUGAGGAAAAUAUGGCCGAUAAAUUUGAAAAUGAAGUCUUUGGAUGUGCAAAUGUUUGCAGACAAGUUCCAUUAAAUGCUAAUGAGCUGAUAGGGGUUGCUCAAGCAAGCAGAAAAGGCAUAAAUGGGUCUGCUACAAGUGAUUUUGAAACUUUGCCAAGUUUUGAUGAAGUAACUGAUGGGGACUACCUGAAACUGUUAGACUUGGACAAUGCUUCUGAUGAGGAAUGCUACAGGAUGGCAAUGGAAAUGCCACUGUCUCCUACACUUCCUGAGAUUGAGGUUCAAGGCCUUGAAGCAUACAGUGCAGAUAAGAUUAAACCUUCAUUAAAGGAAUCCUACUGUGAAGGAUUGUCAAGUAAAGAAAAACGGCCACCCUCUUGUGGAGUUGAAGUUGAUGCUCUUGACAUACUAGGGAAGAGCGGGAACGGUUUGGGUAAUUCUGCAAUUACAAAAGCUUGUGAUCUCGAGGACUCUGGUGCUGGACUGAUGUCUGAUGCUCCGUUUGCAAGAAACGUGGAGGCUGUUUUCCCCCUUGGAAGUGAACUUGGAUAUGUGGUGUUAUGUAAUUUUAAAGACAGCAGCAGCAUUUCUAGGAUACGUUAUGCCUUCAGAGCUUGUAUUACACAAUGCCCUUUGGUUACUGAUACAGAUUGGAGGGUGCGAGAAACUCUGCUUGCUCUCAAGACUGAAGAAAAACUAUUUCCCAAGGAAAAGGUUUGCGUAUUGUUUUCAUUGUUGCUGCUUAACUUCUCCACUGCUGCUUUGAGUAAAUUUGGGAGCUUGAAUUGGAUGUCAACCCCCUGCUUGGAUUCUUAUGUUGGACACAUGUGCUCAGUGAUGUCUGAUUGGGAAGGGAGAAGCAUAUUUGCAGAAUUUGGUAGUUUGGAGGAAUCACUUAAUAUCAUGGAGGAAUUCCUAAUAAAUGGAAGAUUUGUGGUGUGUAAGGACAAAUCUUCAGAGAUCCUGAUUGAUGGGGUUCAUAUAUCCUCUCGACCUGCAUCAGCCGAUGAGUUGGUAGCAGGGAGCAUUGUAUUAGCAUCAAUAUGUGCAGCAAUUGACCACACUGGUUCUAUUUGCGAGAUGUCUUACAAUAUUUUGCUGAUAAGCUGGUCCAAUCAUUCAUUGAUUCUGACUAUCCUACAUGUUUUUGCUUAUCUGGGUGGAGAGAAGUUUUUUAACUUUGGCAAUUCCAAUUUAGUGAUUAUUUUGAAAUCUAUUGUUACAUACCUUGAGGGAGUAAGCUCAUCAGAUACUGCUAGUUCUUUUAUUCCAUCUGCGAGCAAUUCUCGAACCAUGUUCAGUCCAUGUAUCAAUUGCCCAUUUUUUGAGGAUGCUGUUUCUAUGGAUUCUGCUACAUCAUUGCUUUUAGAAAGGCUCCAAAUGAAUGCUUCUAUUCAUUCAAACACUACUACCAAUUUCAUGGAUUGUGAUCUCAGUGACCUCCUAUCAUUGGUGGAGUUGGUUGCAAUAAACAUGAGUUGGGAAUGGACAAGUGCUAAUAUUAUCCCUCGGCUUUUAAAAGUUAUGGAAUCAUGCAUGGCUGAGAAUGUGAUUGCUGGAAUUAUUGUUCUCCUUGGUCAACUUGGGAGGAUUGGAGUUAAUGACCUUGGAUAUGGAGAUAAAGAAGUUGAAAUCUUGAGGGGGGAAUUAUCUGCAUUUUUAUGUCGGGACUCUGCAACGAGUGUCAGUCUUCCUACUCAAAUUGCCACUGUUACGGCAUUGUUGGGGCUUCUCUCUUCUGAUUUCAAAACAAUUAUUCAGAAUAAUGCGAACUCUGCAGCCAUUGCAAGUCAGUCCGGUCCAGCUGAGUCUAUAAGAAAGUGGUUUUCUUUGCUGCCGAAGAAGCAACAAGAUUUUUCAUUCGACCUUCUACAAACACCUGGUGUAAAUAAGACCCGAGCCUGGGACACUGUCUUGCAAAGCUGACUGCAAGGGUUCUCUGAUGUGUUGAACUGUACACGUAGAUUGUUGUGAGAAUCGUUGAAAUUUUCUUCUCGUUGGGAGAAUUGAGGUUAAUCUGGAGUAGGAAAUUUUGUUGAUUUCGACCAUUGAGUAGGCUGCAAAUCUUGGAGAAAUUGAGGAUUCAGAGACAUCCGACGUGAAUGCGUUUUUGUUAUUUUCACCGAAGAACUUUGUACAGAAGAGAGCAAAUUGCAAAAAUGUCUCGGGACAAAAGGACACUUGACAAUUUGAAGAAAAGAGGUAUCAUAGUAACCAAUUCCAAAAACUAGAUUAUUACACUAUGCAAUUGGCGUUUUAGUACCACACAAUAAUUUGUUUGAAAAACAUAUAGAGACAAAUUUGCAGAAUAUUUUAUUAUAUUAUAAUGUAUGGCCUACAUCUGAAGAAUAUUUUAUUCAUUUUUCAGUA
Pyrus x bretschneideri (Chinese white pear) is the source of this 5019-nucleotide RNA transcript. RefSeq lists it as uncharacterized. The transcript is spliced from 9 exons. Lineage: Eukaryota; Viridiplantae; Streptophyta; Magnoliopsida; Rosales; Rosaceae. The record is from RefSeq and is a predicted model, not a curated record.